AGCGGCAGGCCUAACACAUGCAAGUCGAGGGGUAACGGGGGUGCUUGCACCCGCCGACGACCGGCGCACGGGUGCGUAACGCGUAUACAAUCUGCCCCUUACUGGGGAAUAGCCCAGAGAAAUUUGGAUUAAUGCCCCAUGGUACAUAGAUAUGGCAUCAUAUCAAUGUUAAAGGUUACGGUAAGGGAUGAGUAUGCGUACCAUUAGUUAGUUGGUAAGGUAACGGCUUACCAAGACAUCGAUGGUUAGGGGCCCUGAGAGGGGGAUCCCCCACACUGGUACUGAGACACGGACCAGACUCCUACGGGAGGCAGCAGUGAGGAAUAUUGGACAAUGGGCGGGAGCCUGAUCCAGCCAUGCCGCGUGUAGG
RNAcentral lists this ribosomal RNA (370 nucleotides) under uncultured Bacteroidota bacterium. Its description in RNAcentral is "bacterial SSU rRNA". It matches the Rfam family "Bacterial small subunit ribosomal RNA", at positions 39 to 407 of the family's 1533-position model. The record is from RNAcentral. Lineage: Bacteria; Pseudomonadati; Bacteroidota.